Molecule: transfer RNA, 81 nt
Organism: Daedalea quercina L-15889
Lineage: Eukaryota; Fungi; Basidiomycota; Agaricomycetes; Polyporales; Fomitopsidaceae
Rfam family: tRNA
About the family: Transfer RNA (tRNA) molecules are approximately 80 nucleotides in length. Their secondary structure includes four short double-helical elements and three loops (D, anti-codon, and T loops).
Source: Rfam
GGUCCUGUAGUGUAGUGGUUUAUCACUUGGGAUUUUGAUGACUAUGUUCCCAAAACCCAGGUUCGAACCCUGGCCGGACCU